UACGUAGGUGGCGAACGUUAUCCGGAAUUAUUGGGCGUAAAGAGCGCGCAGGUGGUUGAUUAAGUCUGAUGUGAAAGCCCACGGCUUAACCGUGGAGGGUCAUUGGAAACUGGUCGACUUGAGUGCAGAAGAGGGAAGUGGAAUUCCAUGUGUAGCGGUGAAAUGCGUAGAGAUAUGGAGGAACACCAGUGGCGAAGGCGGCUUCCUGGUCUGUAACUGACACUGAGGCGCGAAAGCGUGGGGAGCAAACAGGAUUAGAUACCCU
Molecule: ribosomal RNA, 265 nt
Filed under: uncultured prokaryote
Description: partial 16S ribosomal RNA
Rfam family: Bacterial small subunit ribosomal RNA
Source: RNAcentral